This 741-nucleotide long non-coding RNA is filed under the name Medicago truncatula (barrel medic). RNAcentral's name for it is "lncRNA gene23175". The record is from RNAcentral. Lineage: Eukaryota; Viridiplantae; Streptophyta; Magnoliopsida; Fabales; Fabaceae.
AAGGUGAGAGACUUCUCCUUUGAUGCUCCUAACGAUUGCCGUCCUCUUGAACCACCAAGCUCUAAAUGAGAAAUUGUGAAUGAAAGCUCUUGUAUUUAUAGGCAAGUUUCCAACUGAGUUUGUGUUGAAAAAAUAGGCUUUACCCACAAACCCGCGGUGAAAAAUCAAUAUUUUGUUGAUUUUUCCCCUAACUUGUUAUGUCUUCAGAGGCCUUUUGAAUUUUAAUUUCAUGUCUUAUAUUCGUUCAUGAGGUGUUUUACUUUGCCGAAUUACAUGAUUUUUCAAUAGAAUACUACAAAAACUCCUAGGAAUUACUUGGUUUAGGGAAGAACUAAAAAUAAAUGACUCGAUAUUAAAAUAUUACGAAAUGUCUCGUAAACCAUGAGCAACUUCUCUAAAACUCCUCUUUAUUAACUCAAGUCACUACUAAAAUGACUGGAAAACAUACUGAAAAUAACGUAACAUAACAUACCAUCACUUGUUGGGUUGUAACUUUCUAUUACUUGUAAGCCUUUAUUUUUAAAAAGUCAAUUUAUUAACCACUCUUUUCCGCUACCUUUAGAGGUGUACAAAAUCAUGUUUAAACUUAUCUAAUCCAAUUUCCAGUACGUACAAAAACCUUUCACGCACUCAAUAUGAUGUGAUGAAACCCGAGGACAUGCAUCGUCUGAUUUGCAAGGAAUAUCAGUUUCUACAUUGUCAAAUAAAAAAAUAAAUGAAUGUUAUUAAAAGGUGAUAAAA